RNAcentral lists this ribosomal RNA (459 nucleotides) under uncultured bacterium. RNAcentral describes it as "partial 16S ribosomal RNA". It matches the Rfam family "Bacterial small subunit ribosomal RNA", at positions 338 to 795 of the family's 1533-position model. The record is from RNAcentral.
CCUACGGGGGGCAGCAGUGAGGAAUAUUGGUCAAUGGGCGGAAGCCUGAACCAGCCAAGUAGCGUGCGGGAUGAAGGCCCUACGGGUCGUAAACCGCUUUUGCACGGGGAUAACACCCUCCACCUGUGGAGGUCUGCAGGUACCGUGCGAAUAAGGGCCGGCAAAUUCCGUGCCAGCAGCCGCGGUAAUCCGGAAGGCCCGAGCGUUAUCCGGAUUCAUUGGGCUAAAAGGGAGCGUAGGCGGGCGUUCAAGUCAGCUGUAAAAGCUCGCGGCUCAACCGCGCCCCGCAGUUGAAACUGGGGGCCUGGAGUUCACAACAGGCAGGCGGAAUUCGUGGUGUAGCGGUGAAAUGCAUAGAUAUCACGAGGAACCCCGAUUGCGAAGGCAGCCUGCCGGGGUGCGACUGACGCUGAGGCUCGAAGGUGCGGGUAUCAAACAGGAUUAGAUACCCGUGUAGUC